Molecule: transfer RNA, 73 nt
Filed under: archaeon
Lineage: Archaea
Description: tRNA-Thr
Rfam family: tRNA
About the family: Transfer RNA (tRNA) molecules are approximately 80 nucleotides in length.
Source: RNAcentral
GCCUCGGUAGCUUAGUUGGUAGAGCACUACAUUGGUAAUGUAGAGGUCGUGGGUUCAACCCCCAUCCGAGGCU